Molecule: small RNA, 107 nt
Filed under: Marmota monax (woodchuck)
Lineage: Eukaryota; Metazoa; Chordata; Mammalia; Rodentia; Sciuridae
Source: RNAcentral
GUUGGGCAUGGUGAUGCAUGCCUGUAAUCUCAACAGCUCCGGAGGCUGAGGCAGGAGGAUCGUGAAUUCAAAGCCAGCUUCAGCAACUUAGUGAGAUCUUGUCUCAA